AGAGUUUGAUCAUGGCUCAGAUUGAACGCUGGCGGUAGGCUUAACACAUGCAAGUGUGCGAGAAAGUAUCUUCGGAUAUGAGUAGAGCGGCGGACGGGUGAGUAACGCGUAGGAAUCUACCUAGUAGAAGGGGAUAGCCCGGGGAAACUCGGAUUAAUACCGUAUACCUCCUUCGGGAGAAAGAAGGCCUCUCUUUGAAGCUUUCGCUAUUAGAUGAGCCUGCGUAAGAUUAGCUUGCUGGU
Molecule: ribosomal RNA, 242 nt
Filed under: uncultured gamma proteobacterium DCM-FREE-23
Lineage: Bacteria; Pseudomonadati; Pseudomonadota; Gammaproteobacteria
Description: partial 16S ribosomal RNA
Rfam family: Bacterial small subunit ribosomal RNA
Source: RNAcentral